RNAcentral lists this long non-coding RNA (492 nucleotides) under Calidris pugnax (ruff). RNAcentral's name for it is "lncRNA (ENSCPUG00000009455.1)". Lineage: Eukaryota; Metazoa; Chordata; Aves; Charadriiformes; Scolopacidae. The record is from RNAcentral.
AACAGUCUGGAACUCAAAAUGUGCUAUUUCAUCCUACUUUCCAGGUCAUUUGCCGAGACAACCAGCAGUGUUUAAACUUGCUCAGGCUUCCGUAUCAAUGAACAGAUGGUGUAAAUCCACCCUGAGAUGCAGAAUCUGCACCAUCCCUCUUUUUCAAACAGAUAGACCUCUGUGGACCAUACACAGCGAGUGUGGAGACUCAUGAUGUCUGAUAUGCCUUGCCCAGGAAGCAAAGACAGACAAUUCUGCAUCCAGUAUAAAUGGAGUAGAGGGAGCAGGAGUGAUCAAAUCUGAGUUUAUCUGAGACACUUUCGCCAGAUAGUGAUUUGCUACAACAACCGUCCUUACAGUGAACUCUACUGCCUUUCCCAUUGAUGCCAACACAGGUUUUCAUCCUUAUGUGCCUCUGUAAACUGAUAUUCAAGUUUCUGCACAGAGUUUUGCCAUCCAGCCCAUAAGCAGAAAUGGCUCCCAUGACUCAACACAUCCUUC